GUGUCAAACCAUGUGACAGGUUUUGCCGGAACGAAUCCCCGGCAAUACCAAAAGGGAAUGCGACGGACGGACCCACGCCGGGCGUCUUUAUCGCAGCCGACCCCGCGACUGUAGAGCGGAGAGGGAAGAGGCAAGCCGGGCAACCGGCAGCCACUGGAAAUCAGAUGGAUUUCUGGGAAGGCGCUUUAUUCCCCAAGACCCGCGAGCCAGGAGACCUGCCUGUUGCAUGAGGGCAUU
RNAcentral lists this non-coding RNA (237 nucleotides) under Brucella melitensis. Lineage: Bacteria; Pseudomonadati; Pseudomonadota; Alphaproteobacteria; Hyphomicrobiales; Brucellaceae. RNAcentral also lists the same sequence under 1 other name. The record is from RNAcentral.